Molecule: ribosomal RNA, 465 nt
Filed under: Vreelandella stevensii
Lineage: Bacteria; Pseudomonadati; Pseudomonadota; Gammaproteobacteria; Oceanospirillales; Halomonadaceae
Description: partial 16S ribosomal RNA
Rfam family: Bacterial small subunit ribosomal RNA
Source: RNAcentral
CCUACGGGUGGCUGCAGUGGGGAAUAUUGGACAAUGGGCGAAAGCCUGAUCCAGCCAUGCCGCGUGUGUGAAGAAGGCCUUCGGGUUGUAAAGCACUUUCAGUGGGGAAGAAAGCCUGGGGGCUAAUACCCUCGAGGAAGGACAUCACCCACAGAAGAAGCACCGGCUAACUCCGUGCCAGCAGCCGCGGUAAUACGGAGGGUGCGAGCGUUAAUCGGAAUUACUGGGCGUAAAGCGCGCGUAGGCGGUCUGAUAAGCCGGUUGUGAAAGCCCCGGGCUCAACCUGGGAACGGCAUCCGGAACUGUCAGGCUAGAGUGCAGGAGAGGAAGGUAGAAUUCCCGGUGUAGCGGUGAAAUGCGUAGAGAUCGGGAGGAAUACCAGUGGCGAAGGCGGCCUUCUGGACUGACACUGACGCUGAGGUGCGAAAGCGUGGGUAGCAAACAGGAUUAGAUACCCUGGUAGUC